AGAGACUUUACCUUUUACCUUUAGCAUAACGUCUUUCUUUCUGAUCGGGAGUAUUUUAUUUCCUCGUCCUUCAGAUUUAUUAUGUUUAGUAUUGUUUAAUCCAUUAGUGCGCCUGGCAUAUUUGAAGUUGAACUGAUUUACCAAAAAUUACCGUCGUCGCCCUCCCUGCGAUUUCAUCACUGCUCUCCUUCUUCGGUUGCAGACUAGGCAGAAACCCUAAUCGCCAUGGGAGAUAAUCGUCAGUCUUUUGUACAUCAUGCUCUUGGUGGUGGCUCAGUGGCGGAUGUGCUGUUGUGGAGGAGAUGGUGUGCUAGUGUUACUCUGCUAGUCAGUUCCACUGCGCUUUGGAUUUUGUUUGAGCGAGCUGGAUAUAAUGUCCUUUCCUUUGUUGCCAAUGUUAUGUUGCUUCUAGUUGUGAUUCUCUUCUUCUGGGCUAAAUCUGCCUCACUUCUUAACAGGCCUUUACCUCCUAUCCCUGAUUUGGAGGUUCACGAGGAAUCUGUCGUAAAGGCUGCUGACAUGAUGCGUGUUUGGAUCAAUCAUGUCCUGAUGAUUGCCCAUGAUAUUGCUAUUGGUGGGAAUUUAAAACUUUUUGUUAAGGUUUCUCUUGUCUUGUGGCUGAUAUCUUAUGUUGGUAGUUUCUUCAACCUCCUCACUUUCAUCUACAUGGGAAUUCUUUUUAGUUUGUCUGCGCCUCUGCUGUACGACAAGUAUCAAAAUCAAAUUGAUGACAAGCUUAUUAUAGCACAAAAGGUCAUUCAGACACAGUACAAGAAAAUUGAUGAUAAUGUACUGAGAAAGAUUUCAAGGUCUUCAAAUAAGGAAAAGAAGACUCAGUAAACUGUCUAGACAAACUAAAAAGGUUCUUGGAAUGCAAAGUAAUUUUUUCUUAGAACAAAUGGAAAUAAAGGAGACUUGUUCAAGGUUGACCUGUAGGAUUGCAUCAUCCAACAUCGUUGGGAUGAGGUUUGAUUGCCUUGCAAAGCAGAGUUUUAAAGAAGGCUGAACUUACUAGUGUUUUUCUUAUUUUUGUGAAUGGUUGUCGAUGACCUUUGUUAGUGGAAGUGUCUGUGGCAGAUGAAGUAAUGGUUUAUAUGAUUGGCAUUGAAAUAGUGGCAUGGUCAUUUUGAUUGGUAAUCCACAAGCAUUUCAAUGGAGCCAGUGCAUAAUCUAGAAGUUCUCUUUUGCUAUUGAUUUAGAAUCUUUAUUAUGCUCGUCUCCUAGUAUUUGUACUCUAAUCUAGUUUGCUUUGAGCACCUAAGUAACUGCAGCUCGUUUUUUCCUUUUUUUUUUUUUUGGGUUGAUAUCUCACCUUUGUAGUUAGUUGAUGGUCAGCUCUUUCACACAAAUUUCUUUUAGGUAACUUUGAAAAAAAAGGUUUCCCUUUUGGCUGGCUGAGGUGAUGGUGGAGAAAUGCUAUAUUUGAUUGAUAUGAAUGUUGUGGGGUGUUGCAGUUUAA
This is an RNA transcript of Solanum verrucosum, 1459 nucleotides long. It is a transcript of the gene named reticulon-like protein B11, with no coding region annotated. The transcript is spliced from 7 exons. The record is from RefSeq and is a predicted model, not a curated record. NCBI's taxonomy places the organism in Eukaryota, Viridiplantae, Streptophyta, Magnoliopsida, Solanales, Solanaceae.